CUUUCACCUUCUCUCUUGCAUUCUAGAAUCUCCAAUGAAAGCUACUUCUUUGUGACAAAUCUAUUACAAAUGGGUGUUUGUAAUGUGUAGAACAUCAGAUGUUCAAACAAGCUGUGCUUUUUCAUCUAUUACAUGUACUUGAUAGCACCAUCUACUCUGCUACCUAGAAGUUUCAGGGAACCUUUGAUGGCGUCUACCUGGGAGACUGCGCUUCGUCCUUGACACAGCUUCUGCUGCAGAGUCCUGACCUCCAGGUUCCAAAAUGAUCCUAAAGAUGCUGCCGUCUCCCAAACCAGAAUUCCAGUUGUUGGCAGGAUUCACCAUUGAGUUUAGAAAACUACAGGCUUACAGAUCCCCAUCAACCAACUUUAUCCUUGCCUAAUUUACCCAUCUCUGUAUGAUUGUACUUGAGUCAAGUCCAUUUAAGUGAAUAUAGUCAAUUCUAUCUAAAGGAAUACAGCCUGUUAGCGCCAACAUGGUAGCUGAAUAUGUAUCUGGUUUUAAUGCCUGUCAUCACUCUAUUGUUACCCAGAUGAGGAAAGGGAGAAUAUGAGCCUCAAGACCUACAGACCUUGUCUAUUAAAGCCAGGGUCUCAAGCCAGUCUGAACACAUAAGAAGAGCCACGGAUUUACUUUCUACAGCCAGGAAAAGGCAUUUCACCCCCGAAAAGGGAUCCAGCGUCUAUGGCCAGCAGCUCUACUGUGUCAGGAGUUACUAGAGGGUCGCUGCAGUGGAUGAUCACAGAAGAAAGUCUACAGUAAGUCCCCUACACACGAACCUUCAAGUUGCGAACUUUCAAAGAUGUGAACGUGCAUUCGCAUGUCUAAUCACGUAUGGCGUGAGUGAAACUGCAGCUUGCCCUCUGUCUCCUAUCGUUGACGAUCCUUCAGCUCUACCAUCUCCCACCUUCUCUCCCUCCUCCAGUCAGUAACUCUUCUUGCCUGUUCACUCGAUGCCAGCCCCUAUAUGCCAGCUGUUGUAUCAAUACUGUGUUAUUGUACUUUUCAAGGUACUGUACUGUACUGUAAGAUUAAAAAUGUUUUCUUUA
This is a long non-coding RNA of Balaenoptera acutorostrata (minke whale), 1049 nucleotides long. RefSeq lists it as uncharacterized. The record is from RefSeq and is a predicted model, not a curated record. NCBI's taxonomy places the organism in Eukaryota, Metazoa, Chordata, Mammalia, Artiodactyla, Balaenopteridae. The transcript is spliced from 5 exons.